This is a long non-coding RNA of Homo sapiens (human), 6449 nucleotides long. NCBI's taxonomy places the organism in Eukaryota, Metazoa, Chordata, Mammalia, Primates, Hominidae. The record is from Ensembl.
ACAGAAUGGGUUGCAAAACUUGCUUACUUGUGUGACAUAUUCAACCUGCUCAAGAAACUCAUUCUGUCACUUCAGGAGAGAAUAACAACUGCAUUCAAGUUGGCAGGUAAAGUGGCUGCAUUCAAUGCCAAACUGGAAUUAUGGGGGCGACAAGUAAACUCUCGAAUUUCUGACAUGUUUCAAACAUUAGAAGAGAUUUUUUUCUCCCAGCACCAUCUUUCUCCCAGCUGGUGCAUGAACAACUAUUACAGCUUACAAAAGAAUUUCAGCAUUACUUCCCAACUUCAAAAAGACCCCAAACUGGGAAGGAAUGGAUACGCGACCCAUUUGCGAGUAAGCCAGGUGAAUCGACUUUGUCCAUGCUAGAAGAGGAUCAACUGCAUGAGAUCGCAAAUGACAGUAGCCUUAAAAGUAUGUUUAAGACAACUUCAAAUCACUAUACAUUGUGAGUUAAAGUCAAGGCAGAAUAUCCUGAGAUUGCCACAAAAGCACCAAAAAGCCUGCUUCUAUUUCCAGCAUCCUGUCUUCGUGGAGCAGAGUUUUCUGCAGUGACAGCAACCAAAAUGAGAUUAUGGAGUAGACUGAACAUAGGCAAAACACUUUCGGUGUCACUGUCUCCCAUCACCCCCAGAAUGGGACCAUCUAGUUGCAGGAAAACAAGCCCAGGAUUCUCACUUAUUCUACAUUAUGAUGACAAUAAAAUAUGAGUGCAAAGAAGAACAAAUCCCUGAACAGAUGAUAUCGAAGUCAUACUGGUAAACAAAAUUACUCAUCUGAAAUUAAGACGAUAUCAGCAUUUACAAUGAAUGCAUAUAAAAUUUACUUUGAUACCAAGACUCCAAAUGUCUAACGACUACAUGCUCAACAUCUGCAGGAUCUGUACGGUUCCAGGCAAAAUGUUUUGUAAAGACUUAAGUACUCAAUGUUUUGAUUGUAUAUUUUACAGAAAAAAAUUAAAUUCAUGAAAAUUCAAAACUAUAUGAGAAGUCAAGAUAUAACUUGGUUGUAUAAUAUAAAAGAGCAUGCUAUCACCCAUACACUGUUAUUGAAGAAAAGGUAUGUUUAUCAUAUUUAGCUUUAAGACUCUUUUUUUUUUUUUUUUUUGAGACACAGUCUCGCUCUGUCGCCCAGGCUGGAAUGCAGUGGUGCGAUCUCGGCUCACUGAAAGCUCCGCCUCCCAGGUUCACACCAUUCUCCUGCCUCAGCCUCCCGAGUAGCUGGGACUACAGGCGCCCGCCACCAUGCCUGGCUAAUUUUUUUGUAUUUUUAGUAGAGACAGGGUUUCACCGUGUUAGCCAAGAUGGUCUUGAUCUCCUGACCUCGUGAUCUGCCCGCCUCGGCCUCCCAAAGUGCUGGGAUUACAGGCGUGAGCCACCAUGUGAUUAUAUUCUACUAUAUAUUUGUUCUCCCUUGCAUACAUACUUGGAUACGUUGUAGGAUAAAUAAAUUCCAUAAUAAAUUGCUGAUUCAAGGAUAUUUAUAAUAUUUCUGGUGAAAAAUUCUCUGGUUACCAAUUUCUACAUUCUGAAGAAAAGAAAAAAAUAAUAUAUAGACUUCCUCUCUAGCCAUUCCUGUGAAAGCAUCUCUCAUUACUUCACCCUCAGUCUUCUAGAUAUAAAAAUGUAUAUAAAGUAUCAGGCAUAUAAUAGAUUCUCAAUGAAUAUUACUUUUCUUAUUUUAGAGGAGAUAGUGGUAUAGCCACUUAACUCUUAAGCCACAAUUUCCUCAUGUGUCAAUGGGAAAUAUACCCACUUGACAGAAUUGAAGGUAAUUAAAUGACAUAAUGUAUGCAUAGCUUUCAGUACAGUCUCUGCAAUAGGGACUACAAAAACUUAGCUCCCAUAAUCCUCUUCAAAUUACAAGUGAUAUACCUUAGAGCACUGAAAGGCAGUUCACAACUCCCUGCAGUCUCACCACAUCUGUUGCUACCAGUAAAGCUACACUAGUACUUGUUUACUUAAUCACUUGCCAAAAAACAAUUGUCAAUUUCAUAAUUAAUUUUCAACCAAACUUAUAGGUUUAGAUCACGUUUUGUGGCAUAUUAUUAAGAUUUUAUGUCACUUAAGAAGGGAUCCUGCCUACUAAUUUGAAAUUUAACACGGUAGCCUGCUUCUGGUAUACAAGACAUUAAUAAAAAUAAACAAAAAAAACCUCUUUUACAUUAAAUUACAAGAAUCAUUAAAAGAAGGAAUUUUUAAAAAAUACUUACGAAUAGAAAAUGUUGAAACCAGUUAGAUUAUACGCAGCAUCACUAAAAAAAUGUAACAGUGCAUAGCCAGAUGUAGUAACAACUUCAGGCACAGUUUCAUUGCCCCUUAUUUCAGGGACUAUCAAACCACUAAAAGAGAACAAAACUGAAUAUUGUAUGUAUAGAUAUACAUAAGACUGUUAAGCACAUAAAAUUUACUCAGAAAUAUUCUUACCAGGAUCAGUAAUGCUUGUACGUCAGAAUGGGCAACUAAAAGGAGAAUACAUCUAAAAGAAGUCCCUAUCCAUUUCUCACUAAAUUAGUUCUACUACUGCUGCCAAUACACUAAAAUCUACUCUCAUGCCACUGUACCCCAUUUUUUUUCUUAUCACUAUUUGUAAGGCAAUGUCUCAUUUCUCCUUUUUGUCCUGCUAUCCAUCCUGUCAUAAUACUACAGGGUAGUCUUCCACUUAAUUCAUAUAAAACUUCACUUAAAGUCACCUUGCUACUCUAAUAAAACCCUGUACCUUUACUCAUUCUGAUUGGUUUAAAAAUCCGAUGAAGCUGGAAGACACUCUACAUCAGUUAAGCAAUUACAAUUACAUUCUAGUUAUAGCUGUACAUUUCCAAUACAUUUAUCUAGGUGAUUUAAAAUAUUUACUUCAAAAAAUUUAAAACUAUAUAGACUUUAAUGUUUUUCUAAUUUUGCAUAUCUAUGCAAAUUGCAUUAAUAUAUAACUAUUCCAAGACAGAAUAUUGCUCACAUAAGCCCAUAAGCACACAAACAAAAACUUGGGGUGGGGGAGAUAUAAAUGUACAAAAUAGUUUUAAACUGGUAACUUGUACUUCUUUUUAAGGAUACUUGUUCAUGAGGAAAAUUACCUAUCUUCAUUUAGUUAUAUGUUCUAACCUCUCUAAAUCUAUGAAAACAUGCAAUUGGUGAAAGAAAAGAAGCUGCUAACAAACAAAUUAUAUAACUCGACACGGUCAAUUCCUUUAAACAGUUAAAAUUAUGUUUAGGUACCACUAAGAACUGAAUUCCCCCAUUCAAAUCAUAUUUGACACAUAAAUGAAAUAUUAUAGUCAAAUAAUUGAUUUAGAAAAUACAUUCUCAAAUGCAAACAAGUUAAAAAGUAAUCAACUCUUGAUUUAACGCUUUAGUAAUUAUUAUUACAUCUACUAGGUUAUGUUUGUGAAGCAACAAAUGAUUUUAAAAUGAGACUCUCAAAACAAUACAAACCCUAUGACACCAGUCUUAAGUUAUACAUACAUAUUGUUCAUUGUAAUAAAAUUAUAUAAAGGUGAGUAUUACUAAAAAUAGGUCUUUAUAAUAGAUACAGCUAGUCUCUGAGCGCUCUCUGAAAAAGAUAAAAAGAAUAGGUCUGGGCCAGGCGCAGUGGCUCAUGCCUGUAAUCCCAGUACUUUGGAAGGUGGAGGCAGGCGGAUAACGAGGUCAAGAGAUCAGGAACAUCCUGGCCAACACAGUGAAACCCCAUUUCUACUAAAAAUACAAAAAAAUCAGGUGGGCACGGUGGUGCAUGCCUGUAGUCUCAGCUACUCGGGAGGCUGAGGCAGGAGAAUCGCUUGAACCUGGGAGGUGGAGGUUGCAGUGAGCCGAGAUCACACCACUGCACUCCAGCCUGGUGACAGAGCGAGACUCCGUCUCAAAAAAACAAACAAACAAAAAAGAAUAGAUCUGUUUGGUUUUUUGUUUACAAGUAUUUUAAAAACAAUAAAUAAAAGAGAGUUUCCACUUCCUGUAUAAUACACCAGGAAAUUCGGACCAACUGAAAUCUAGUAAAAUGACAAAUUAUAUAAAAACAAAAAAAUCAGCUUGAAGGCCUGCCCAGGCAUUGAGGUCAUUUACCCUAUUGGCAUUUGCUGAUUUCAAGGCUGGAGGUAAGAUUUGAAGGGCUAAAAAAAACUCGGUGGUAAUUUCAGGGAUUUUACAGAAUGAAGGAAAGAAAAAGUGAAACACAAGGCCUUCACGUUGAACUGGGACUCCAAUGGUUGGAAGUGAAAGCAAACUACCUAAAGUUAGGCCCUCCAAAGGACUGCACUGCAGCUGAGCUAUGAAUCACCUCAGUAUCUGAGUUUGGAUUGAGUUGAAUAUGGAUUGCGAGUGUCCCCAGGUAGUCUCUGCAAGAAUAUAAUCUUUCUAGGCCUCAAAUUAUUACUAUAUAUGAUUUUCCAAACAACAACGUCCAACACACAAUUGUCCAGCACACAGUAAAAAAAAAAAAAAAUAACACUUCUCCAUUCCAAUGCAUUCUCCACAUUCUAAAAACUCUUGCCUACAGAAUAAAAGCCCAACUUCUUUAGUGUGGUGUACAAGCAAGCAAUAUUACAGUGAUUAAGGGAUUAGGACCUAUAAUUACAUAACCUUGAUUCAUAUUCUGACUUACCAGCUAGGCAACCUUCGGGCCACUCACAGAAAAUCUCUGUGUCUCAAUUCUGCAUUUGUAAAAUUACAAUAUUAAUACCUACCUAAAGGUUAUUUUGAGGAUUAAAUAAACUAAUGCAUAUAAAGAACUCCUGUACAUUGGCACAAAAUGAGCACUAAGUAAAUGUCACUGAUUGCUGUUUUGGGGUAAUGUGACUCCUACGUAUCCUUCACAGUUCCUACAAUCAAGUUACUCAAAACUUUCAACUAUUGCCCUAAAAUAUAAUGCUCUUUAAUGUGUCUAUACCUUUGUAUAUAUGCUUUUCUCUCCCUAGAAUGUCCUAUCUGACCCCCAUACUUCAUACUUUUACUCACGAUGAAAGUCAACAUGAAGGAUUAGUUAUUUAUUUUGAAAUUAUAUAGAACUCCUUCAUAACCUGAUUGUAACACUAACUAGGCUGUGUGAAAAAUCUGUUUACAUACCCCCACUAAUGCAUGACUACUGCAUACUAAAGAAUUUGGCUGGCUUUUGUCCCCAGUUCUUGGGACAUAACCUCUAAAUUCUUGAAAUUUCCUGAGUGAUGGGAGUGUCUUCCUAUUCAUGGUGAGCCCUGAAAAUUUAUGCCAAUGAGGUGACUCAUGGUGGGCCCCUAAUUAAUUUAAGCUAAAGAUAUAAUUCAGAAUAGGGGAUGGCCACUCCAGAAACACUAACCAUGUGAUUAAAAUGUUGGGGCCAUAUGGUAUUAGCCUAACUUCCCGAGAGAGAAGGGGAUGGGAGGGGCUGGAGAUUUGAGUUCAGCCUCAUGGCCAAUGAUUCAAUCACUCAUGGCUACAUAAUGAAACUUCAAUAAAACUCUGGACACCUGAAGCUCAGAUGAGCUUCCCUGUUGGUGAUACAUGUUGAUGUGCUGGGUGGGUAACACAUUCUGAGGACCCAGAAGCUUUGCAUUUAUGAUCCUCCCAGACCUCACUCUAUGCAUCCCUUUAUUUGGCUGGCUCUGAUUUCUAUCCUUCAUGAUAAAACUAUAGUCAUAAGUGUAGAACUUUCCUGAGUUCUAUGAUAAUUCUAGUGAAUUAUCAAACUUUUAGGACAGAGUAGGAACCCCUAAAUAUGUAGCCAGAUGGUCAGAGUAGGUGGGGAGCACCAAGCUUGCAGCUAGUGUCUGAAAUGACAGCAGUGUUAUAGAGCAGCAAUCCCCAACCUUUUUGGAACCAGAGACCAGUUUCAUGGAAGACAAAAUUUCCACAGACCGGGGGAGGAUGAUUUUGGGAUGAUUCAAGCAUAUUACAUUUAUUAUGCACUUUAUUUCUAUUAUUAUUACAUUGUAAUAUGUAAUCAAAUAAUUAUACAACCCGCCAUAAUGUAGAAUCAGUGGAAGCCCUGAACUUGAUUUCCUGCAACUAGAUGGUCCCAUCUGGGGCUGAUGGGAGACAGUGACAGACCAUCAGGCAUUAGAACCUCAUAAGGAAUGAGCAACCUAGAUCCCUCACAUGCACAGUUCACAGUAGGGUCUGUACUCCUAUGACAAUCUAAUGCCGCUGCUGAUCUGACAGAAGGUGGAGCUCAGGCAGUAAUGCAAGCAGUGGGGAGCAGCUGUAAAUAAAGAUGAAGCUUUGCUCACUUGCCCGCCACUCACUUCCUACUGUGUAGCCCUGUUGCUAACAGGCCAUGGACUGGUACGGGGAUCUGGGGUGGAGAGGAGACCCUUGUUGUAGAGGACUGUGCUCUUAACCUAGGAAAUCUGUUCUAGCCCAACUGCAGGUAGUUGGUGUCUAAAGCCACUGCGAUAGCCUAUGCCUUCUUCCUUACUAUGUACUCUAAGCCUGUGACACAGUCUCUGUAAUUAAAUGUUGAGUAAUAAAUAUUUAUACAAUUGA